RNAcentral lists this ribosomal RNA (413 nucleotides) under uncultured bacterium. Its description in RNAcentral is "bacterial SSU rRNA". It matches the Rfam family "Bacterial small subunit ribosomal RNA", at positions 917 to 1341 of the family's 1533-position model. The record is from RNAcentral.
GGACCCGCACAAGCGGUGGAGUAUGUGGUUUAAUUCGAUGCAACACGAAGAACCUUACCAGGGUUUGAAAUCAUUUCAAAACUCCUUGAAAGAGGAGCCUCCUUCGGGAUGAAAUGACAGGUGGUGCAUGGCUGUCGUCAGCUCGUGUUGUGAAAUGUCGAGUUAAGUCUCGUAACGAGCGCAACCCAUGUCUCUUGUUGCUCACUGAGUGCUUAAGAGAGACUGCCGACCAACAUCGGAGGAAGGUGUGGAUGAUGUCAAGUCAGCAUGCCCCUUACAUCCUGGGCUACACACGUACUACAAUGGUAGGGACAAUGAGCUGCGAUCCUGCGAAGGCUAGCCAAUCUAUAAACUCGUUCUAAGUUCGGAUUGUAGGCUGCAACUCGCCUACAUGAAGGUGGAAUCGCUAGUAA